UACAGAGGGUGCAAGCGUUGCUCGGAAUUAUUGGGCGUAAAGGGCAGGUAGGUGGUCUCGUUUGUCGCGGGUGAAAUCCCUGAGCUUAACUCAGGAAGUGCCCUCGAAACGGCGAGACUAGAGUUCUGGAGAGGGUCGUGGAAUUCCCGGUGUAGCGGUGAAAUGCGUAGAGAUCGGGAGGAACACCAGAGGCGAAAGCGGCGACCUGGACAGAUACUGACACUCAACUGCGAAAGCGUGGGGAGCAAACAGG
Molecule: ribosomal RNA, 253 nt
Filed under: uncultured bacterium
Lineage: Bacteria
Description: partial 16S ribosomal RNA
Rfam family: Bacterial small subunit ribosomal RNA
Source: RNAcentral